Molecule: ribosomal RNA, 253 nt
Filed under: uncultured bacterium
Lineage: Bacteria
Description: partial 16S ribosomal RNA
Rfam family: Bacterial small subunit ribosomal RNA
Source: RNAcentral
UACGUAGGGGGCAAGCGUUAUCCGGAUUUACUGGGUGUAAAGGGAGCGUAGACGGAAUUGCAAGUCUGAUGUGAAAAUCCGGGGCCCAACCCCGGAACUGCAUUGGAAACUGUAUUUCUAGAGUGUCGGAGAGGCAAGCGGAAUUCCUGGUGUAGUGGUGAAAUGCGUAGAUAUCAGGAGGAACACCAGUGGCGAAGGCGGCUUGCUGGACGAUGACUGACGUUGAGGCUCGAAAGCGUGGGGAGCAAACAGG